RNAcentral lists this long non-coding RNA (1877 nucleotides) under Ananas comosus (pineapple). RNAcentral describes it as "long non-coding RNA (ACOM_LNC005900)". Lineage: Eukaryota; Viridiplantae; Streptophyta; Magnoliopsida; Poales; Bromeliaceae. The record is from RNAcentral.
AGAGAGAGAGAGAGAGAGAGAGAGAGAGAGUUGAGUUAGAAUACUCUCAAAAGCACCAUGAAGGUGGUGCUUUUGAGUUUUUAAUCAUUGGAUGGAGAGAUGUGAGGUUGAAAUGAUAGUGGUAGGUGGUGGUAGGUAGAAUAGUAUUUGAUCCAAGGGCUAUUAGUAAUUAAGGAGUAGAUCCAAGGGCUAGAAACUUAGAAGCACCAAGGGGUUCGUGCUUCUAAAAGUAUUCUAGCUCAAUUCUCUCUCUCUCUCUCUCUAUAUAUAUAUGUGUGUGUAUGUGUGUGUUUCUCUACUUAUUUCUUCAAGAUUUUUGGGCUGUUGCUGCUUAGUUACUUCUAAAAAAUAUAUUAGGUAUGAAAAUAAUUAACUAUAAAAUUAGAAAUUAAAUAACCUUUUUAUUUUUCCUCCUCAAAUAGAGAGAGUAGUUGUUUGCAAAUUUCAUGCAGUUUGGUUGUAUAUUUUUUUUUAUCUAUUUUUAUCUCCUCGCUNAGGCUACGGAUGCACUGUUAUAGAGGGCGGUUGCACCAUUUCUCCUUUCGUAGCUCCUUCGCGUUGCACUAUUAUCCCUAUUGCGUUGCGCGCAGUAUUUCUCAAUAGCUUUAGAAAAUUUCGUAAAGUCUUAAAGCCGAACAGGAAACAGCGGGGCCGGCGAAUAGUGGAGGUGGAUGUGGUCCGAGUUCCGAGUAAUGAGCGAGGGAGGUUGCGUAAAACGGACGCGGCGCAUUUAAUGCGCGCCAGACCGUACGGCAGGGUAGUAGGGUAGUAUACGUAUGUCAAGAAAUACGCGGGAGGCUAUUGUAUAGGAGGGGCAUUUUGGUCAAGCGGCGGAAAAAGCAGACCGAAUCUGCAAAAAUGAAAAAGGUGGCCCAGUUUUGCAAAAGCCCAAAAUAAGUGAAUUUUUUAUGCAAAUUGGCCAAAUAAUUAACUAUAAAAUUAGAAAUUAAAUAACCUUUUUAUUUUUCCUCCUCAAAUAGAGAGAGUAAUUGUUUGCAAAUUUCAUGCAGUUUGGUUGUAUAUUUUUUUUUAUCUAUUUUUAUCUCCUCGUUAUUGUUGAAGAUUGAUAAGGCAGUGAUGAUAAAACAAGUGCAUCCGGUAAGGAAGGCCUUUUCCUAACACAACCGGUUGCGCUAACAUAGCUAAUGUAUUCAAUCCUACCUACCACUGAUCGUCUCUAUCUCUAUAUCUUUGAUUAGGAUUGGAUUGUUGUUUUACCUCAGCCUUUUCAUGUUCCUAUGAUUUUGGUUACAUUUAAAAAAAUUGUUUCUCUUCUCUACUUCUCUUAGUCCCUUUUGCUUUAUUUUAUUAUUUUUAGUUUCCACUAAAUAAGACUUUCAUGUUUUUUGCUCCCUACUCUUAUUAGUAAAUGAUUAUUUACAUUCUUUUCCCUUCGUUUCUUCACUCCAUGUUUUGUAAUAUUAAGAUGAGCAAAAUUAUAGGCAUGUCAUGUGCCUUCACUCUCAUCUAUAAAUUUUCAGUGUAAUUUUUUUUUCUAUUUUACCUCCUCACUAUUAUUGCAGAUUGGUAAGGCAAUGAUGAUAAAACAAGUGCAUCGAGUAAGGAAGGCCUUUUCCUAAGGCAACCACUUGCACUUAGCUAACAUAGCUAAUGUAUUCAAUCCUAUCUACCACUGAUGGUCUCUAUCUUUAUAUCUUUGAUUAGGAUUGAAUUGUUGUUUUACCUGAGCCUUUUCAUGUCCCUAUGAUUUUGGUUAAAUUUAAAAAAAAUGUUUCUCUUCUCUACUUCUCUUUCUUAGUUCUCUCUACUGGUUUUAAUUUUUUCAAUCCUUCUUUCUUAUACCCCUUUUGCUUUAUUUUUUCUUUUUGAGUUCUCCACAAAAUUUUACAUUUUCUUAUACCCCUAAGCUGCACAAA